CCUCAGAAAAUCACGUAAACAUGCUAAUUCAUCAUGUAAAAACAGAUCAACAAUAUCCCAACAAUCAACGGAUCUAAAUCUGUGAUUACUGAUAUUGUGCGUGUGUGUCCACGACCAUGCUAACCCAUGAAAGACAAAAAUAUGAAAGAUAAUAACUUUCUUAGUAAGCAUCAUACAGUGUGAACUUGAGAACUCAUCAAAUAUACUUGUUUCAACUGAACUCAAACACUUACCCGAAUUCAAAAGUCAAAAUGGAAUACUUUUUUUUUUUUUUAUGAAUGACUGUGCAACGUCUCAUCCCAUUAGGCUAAUAGUGUUACCCCUUAGCGAGCUUUCGACCAACAACUCCCAGACCAUAUAAGACCUUAGGGCGCUAGGUUUUAAGAUACCCCUUCGGGCGUACUUGGUCAAGUAACACAGGCCCCGAAACAAGACUAGUCACCCUGUAUAUUAUCAUUAUUA
This 462-nucleotide long non-coding RNA is filed under the name Panax ginseng (ginseng). RNAcentral's name for it is "long non-coding RNA (PGIN_LNC018626)". Lineage: Eukaryota; Viridiplantae; Streptophyta; Magnoliopsida; Apiales; Araliaceae. The record is from RNAcentral.